GAUACGCGAGCCACGAGAGAGGGGCCACUCGGGACCGCGGUGCGCGACUUCUCGGAAGUUGGGGGACUAAAAGGGGUCUGAUUUUGGGGGUCGGUCGGUAUUGAAGACCCAGAAAGCCAGGGGAAGUAGAGGACCUGAAGGAACUGGGCUGUUACUGAGGCGGAGACACGGGUGAUGAUUGGCUUUCUGGGGAGAGAGGAAGUCCUGUGAUUGGCCAGA
This 219-nucleotide small RNA is filed under the name Pan troglodytes (chimpanzee). Its description in RNAcentral is "processed transcript". Lineage: Eukaryota; Metazoa; Chordata; Mammalia; Primates; Hominidae. The record is from RNAcentral.